CCACACCUAAAACUUUCCACGUGAACCGUUUCAACCCAAUAGUUGGGGGUCUUAUUUGGCGGCGGCUGCUGGCUUAAUUGUUGGCGGCUGCUGCUGAGUGAGCCCUAUCAAAAAAAAGGCGAACGUUUGGGCUUCGGCCUGAUUUAGUAGUCUUUUUUUCUUUUAAACCCAUUCCUUAAUACUGAAUAUACUGUGGGGACGAAAGUCUCUGCUUUUAACUAGAUAGCAACUUUCAGCAGUGGAUGUCUAGGCUCGCACAUCGAUGAAGAACGCUGCGAACUGCGAUACGUAAUGCGAAUUGCAGGAUUCAGUGAGUCAUCGAAAUUUUGAACGCAUAUUGCACUUCCGGGUUAGUCCUGGAAGUAUGCCUGUAUCAGUGUCCGUACAUUAAACUUGACUUUCUUCCUUCCGUGUAGUCGGUGGAGGAGAUGUCAGAUGUGAAGUGUCUUGCGAUUGGUCUUCGGACCGGCUGCGAGUCCUUUUAAAUGUACUAAACUGAACUUCUCUUUGCUCGAAAAGUGGUGGCGUUGCUGGUUGUGAAGGCUGCUAUUGUGGCAAAUUGGCGACUGGUUUGUCUGCUGCGGCAUUAAUGGAAGAGUGUUCGAUUCGUGGUAUGGUUGGCUUCGGCUGAACAAUGCACUUAUUGGACGUUUUUCCUGCUGUGGCGUGAUGGACUGGUGAACCAUAGCUCGGUGGCUUGGCUUUUGAAUUGGCUUUGCUGUUGCGAAGUAGGGUGGCAGCUUCGGUUGUCGAGGGUCGAUCCAUUUGGGAACUUAAUGUGUACUUCGGUAUGCAUCUCAA
Molecule: ribosomal RNA, 801 nt
Rfam family: 5.8S ribosomal RNA (bases 228-382)